RNAcentral lists this unclassified non-coding RNA (793 nucleotides) under Hevea brasiliensis (rubber tree). The record is from RNAcentral. Lineage: Eukaryota; Viridiplantae; Streptophyta; Magnoliopsida; Malpighiales; Euphorbiaceae.
AGCGACUCUUAUCUUUCAUUCUUUUCCAGAGCUCCUUUAGAGAGAGAAAAGAGAACCACUAGCCUUUCCGGUUCCCGGCCUUCGCCUAUCACCGGCGAUGUCAUCGUCCUAUCCUCCGACCGAAGAACUACCUCUGAUGAGGAAUAUUCUCGACUGAAAAUCGAGGGGGAGAAGCAUACCGAAGACCAGACGCUAUUCCUUAUUUUUUUUCUGACGAAAAUUUAAUCGGAAUUGCUUCUUUCACAGGAAACUGGGCGAAAGACCAAAUCGAAAUUGCUUGUAGAUGCUUCAAUACCAGCCUGUGAGUUUUUGAAGUUGUGGUGACCCAGUUGAGAUCUUUGAGGGAUACUUGAAGCAAUUAUUAAAUCAUGGAUACUUUAUUGAAAACACAUAACAAGCUUGAAUUCCUGCCUCAACUUCAUGUGUUCCCAGAGAAAGCGAGUAAUGUGGGCUCUAUGAAGCUUCGAAACCCAGAGCUUAGGUUUUGUCUGCAUAAGUCUUAUAAAAAAAGGGUAAGAAAUGGUUGUGUUAAGGCUACCAGUAGUACUCUUUUGGAGCUUGUACCAGAGACCAAGAAGGAAAAUCUUGAAUUUGACCUGCCUAUGUGUGACCCAUCAAAAGGACUCGUGGUUGACCUUGCAGUUGUGGGUGGUGGCCCUGCAGGGCUUGCAGUUGCACAACAAGUCUCGAAGGCAGGGCUUUCUGUUUGUUUGAUCGACCCAUCUCCCAAAUUGAUUUGGCCUAAUAAUUAUGGUGUUUGGGUGGAUGAAUUUGAGGCCAUGGAUUUGCUUGA